AUUGAACGCUGGCGGAAUGCUUUACACAUGCAAGUCGGGCGGCAGCGCGGGGGCAACCCUGGCGGCGAGCGGCGAACGGGUGAGUAACACAUCGGAACGUAUCCUGUCGUGGGGGAUAACGAAUCGAAAGAUUCGCUAAUACCGCAUACGACCUGAGGGUGAAAGCGGGGGAUCGCAAGACCUCGCGCGAUUGGAGCGGCCGAUGUCGGAUUAGCUAGUUGGUGAGGUCAAGGCUCACCAAGGCGACGAUCCGUAGCGGGUCUGCGAGGACGGCACGCCACAAUGGAACUGAGACACGGUCCAGACUCAUACGGGAGGCAGAAGUGGGGAAUUUUGUACAAUGGGGUCAACCCUGAUCCAGCCAUGCCGCGUGAGUGAAGAAGGCCUUCGGGUUGUAAAGCUCUUUCGGCAGGAACGAAAAGGCUCUCUCUAACAUAGGGGGUCAAGGACGGUACCUGAAGAAGAAGCACCGGCUAACUACGUGCCAGCAGCCGCCGUAA
RNAcentral lists this ribosomal RNA (500 nucleotides) under uncultured bacterium. RNAcentral describes it as "partial 16S ribosomal RNA". It matches the Rfam family "Bacterial small subunit ribosomal RNA", at positions 29 to 523 of the family's 1533-position model. The record is from RNAcentral.